This 1926-nucleotide unclassified non-coding RNA is filed under the name uncultured fungus. Its description in RNAcentral is "sequence contains 18S rRNA gene, ITS1, 5.8S rRNA gene, ITS2, 28S rRNA gene". The stretch from base 781 to 1926 matches the Rfam family "Eukaryotic large subunit ribosomal RNA", at positions 1 to 961 of the family's 3401-position model. Lineage: Eukaryota; Fungi. The record is from RNAcentral.
GGAGGGAUCAUUAACACGUUUCAUACACGUAUUCCAAACCAACCCGUGAACCACAUGAUAUCACACCCUUUCCAUCUCCUUGCUUUCCAAGGGUCAAACCUGAGAGGCAAGAAGAUCACAAACCCCUUUCACCCCCUUAUAACCACCUGGACUGAUAUCUGUUUUAUUCAUCUUCUAUUCCUAUUCACUGGAGCAAUCCGGCGUUGGGGACUGACUGAUGUAAUAAUCCAAUGUAUAAUCAAAUAUCUAAGCACAACUCUUAGCAACGGAUAUCUUGGUUCUCGCAACGAUGAAGAACGCAGCGAAAUGCGAUAUGUAAUGCGAAUUGCAGAAUUCAGUGAAUCAUCAAAUCUUUGAACGCAAAUGGCGGUCUCGGGUUAGUCCUGAGACCACGCCUCUCUCAGUAUCGGUUCAACCUCACCUCGGAUGCGUAUUGCACUGUCUUAUUUCAUUAUAGGUAGGCGCAGUACAACCUCCGGAGAAUGAGAGUAAUAUCACCCCAACUUGUUGUGGGAGGUAUUUCUCUUCAAAUACGUUGAGCUGUGAUCUCCUAGUACCUUGUGGGGCGUUCAAACCCUCACAAUAGCCUCUUUGCUAUUUCUCCUUACUAGUGAACGUGGAUAAUUUCAUGCCCUUCAAACCGGUGUGAAUUGAAACGUUUUAUCUAUGUAGGUGGGAUGUUUAUAUAGUGAAGCAGUGUGAACGACUAGGCAGUAUCACUCUAAAGCGAUCAGGAAUUAACCUCCGAAUGAUAAUGUCAUGUUAUCAUUCUUUCGAAUUAGAUCUGAGAUGAAGCGAGGAGACCCCCUGAAUUUAAGCAUAUUAUUAAGGGGAGGAAAAGGAACUAACAAGGAUUCCCCCAGUAACGGCGAGUGAAGCGGGAUGAGCUCAAGUUGAGAAUCGGUGAUCCGUGCGGGUCGUUCCGAAUUGUACCCUAGAGACGUGUGAUCAGCGUGUGACCCAGGUCCAAGUCCUUUGGAAAAAGGCAUCAGAGAGGGUGAGAAUCCCGUCCCGAACCUGGAGCUCGCCGCGUACGAUGCAUGUUCACAGAGUCGAGUUGUUUGGGAUUGCAGCUCUAAAGCGGUGGUAAGGUUCAUCGAAAGCUAAAUACAGGCGAGAGACCGAUAGCGAACAAGUACCGUGAGGGAAAGAUGAAAAGAACUUUGAAAAGAGAGUUAAAAAGUACUUGAAAUUGCUAAGAGGGAAGCGCUAAACACCAGUGUGACUGCUCUCAUUCUGCCCGUGUGCUCUUCGUUCGUCCUGUGUGCGUCUAGUUGGAAACUCUAGUGCUGCGGCUUCGGAUGGGGAGGAGGCGGGUCCUGUGAGAGGAGCGCGUCAGGAUCAGUUCGGACUUUUGUGCAGGAGAGGAUGUGGAUCGAAGGUAGGGAUGGAAACAUCCUGUUAUAUCGGCCCCAUUCGACUGUGCUCCGGACUGAGGAAAAGUAAUGGUGCGCCACUAGGCUUGGUCCUCUGUUGCUCUGUGGCUCGGUGUUGCUUGGAUGACAAUGUCAUGCGGUGAUCCGAGUUGCAUACGCAGUGGAACGUCCCGAUGCACCCAUCACGAUUCUGACUAAAUGGUGUUUAUCGACCCGUCUUGAAACACGGACCAAGGAGUCUAACAUAUAUGCGAGUAUUUGGGUGCAUGAAACCCGCGUGCGCAAUGAAAGUAAAGGCUGGGCUUGUCCCGGCUGAGGUAGGAAUCCUGGUGUAAACAGCUGGGAGGCACUAUCGACCGAUCGUCACUUGUGAAAGAUUUGAGUCAGAGCAUAUCUGUUGGGACCCGAAAGAUGGUGAUCUAUGCCUGAACAGGGUGAAGCCAGGGGAAACUCUGGUGGAGGCUCGUAGCGAUACUGACGUGCAAAUCGUUCGUCUGAUUUGGGUAUAGGGGCGAAAGACUAAUCGAACUAUCUAGUAGCUGGUUCCCUC